CGCCCAUAGCUUAGUUAAUAGAGCAGUGGGACGCUUCCCCACAGUCCCGGGUUCAAGUCCCGGCGCGGUGG
Phthorimaea operculella (potato tuberworm) is the source of this 71-nucleotide non-coding RNA. The record is from the annotation of a GenBank genome assembly. NCBI's taxonomy places the organism in Eukaryota, Metazoa, Arthropoda, Insecta, Lepidoptera, Gelechiidae.